GACUAGUCUGGUUCAGGUCAGCACAUCUUAUGACUAACUAACCUGGUUCAUGUCAGCACAUCUCAUGACUAACUAAUCUGGUUUAGGUCAGCAUAUCUCAUGUCUGAUCUAUCCUAGUUCAAAUCAGCACAUCUCAUGCCUGAUCAAUUUGAUUGAGGUUAGCACAUCUCAUGUCUGAUCCAACCUAGUUGGCAUGGGUGAACUCGAAUGACCAAGCAAACUUACUCAAGACAUGAUCAACCAAUUGACCAGAUAAGUG
Molecule: long non-coding RNA, 259 nt
Filed under: Elaeis guineensis (African oil palm)
Lineage: Eukaryota; Viridiplantae; Streptophyta; Magnoliopsida; Arecales; Arecaceae
Description: long non-coding RNA (EGUI_LNC062036)
Source: RNAcentral